AAUCUGGGGUCCCCGACCUCCGAGUUGUAAUUUGGAGAGGCAUCUUCGGGGAGGGGGCGCGGGCCCAUGUUCCUUGGAACAGGACGUCGCAGAGGGUGAGAAUCCCGUGCCAGGCCGGCCGCCUCCGCCCCGGUGGAGGGCCUUCGACGAGUCGAGUUGUUUGGGAAUGCAGCUCCAAGUGGGUGGUAAAUUUCAUCUAAAGCUAAAUACCGGCGGGAGACCGAUAGCGCACAAGUAGAGUGAUCGAAAGAUGAAAAGCACUUUGAAAAUAGAGUCAAAAAGUACGUGAAAUUGUUGAAAGGGAAGCGCUUGGGACCAGACUCGGACCCGGGCAAACACCGCGCCCCCCCCCCGGGGCCGUGCAAUUGCCUGGGGCCGGGCCAGCAUCGGUUGGCGUGGCGGGACAAAGGCGCGGGGAAUGUGGCUCCCCUCGGGGAGUGUUACCAGGCCCGCGCCCAAUGCCGCCUACGCCGACUGAGGACCGCGCCGCCCGGCUAGGAUGCUGGCUUAAUGGCCUUCAGCGACCCGUCUUGAAACACGGACCAAGGAGUCUAACACCUAUGCGAGUGUUUGGGCUUGAAACCCUUGCGCGGAAUGAAAGUGAGCGGAGGUGGGAACCCCCCCCGCGGGGCGCACCAUCGACCGAUCCUGAUGUCUUCGGAUGGAUUUGAGUA
This 674-nucleotide ribosomal RNA is filed under the name Helvella sp. Its description in RNAcentral is "partial large subunit ribosomal RNA". It matches the Rfam family "Eukaryotic large subunit ribosomal RNA", at positions 119 to 796 of the family's 3401-position model. The record is from RNAcentral. Lineage: Eukaryota; Fungi; Ascomycota; Pezizomycetes; Pezizales; Helvellaceae.